RNAcentral lists this ribosomal RNA (484 nucleotides) under uncultured bacterium. Its description in RNAcentral is "partial 16S ribosomal RNA". It matches the Rfam family "Bacterial small subunit ribosomal RNA", at positions 30 to 507 of the family's 1533-position model. The record is from RNAcentral.
AUUGAACGCUGGCGGCAGGCCUAACACAUGCAAGUCGAGCGGUAGAGAGAAGCUUGCUUCUCUUGAGAGCGGCGGACGGGUGAGUAAUGCCUAGGAAUCUGCCUGGUAGUGGGGGAUAACGUUCGGAAACGGACGCUAAUACCGCAUACGUCCUACGGGAGAAAGCAGGGGACCUUCGGGCCUUGCGCUAUCAGAUGAGCCUAGGUCGGAUUAGCUAGUUGGUGGGGUAAUGGCUCACCAAGGCGACGAUCCGUAACUGGUCUGAGAGGAUGAUCAGUCACACUGGAACUGAGACACGGUCCAGACUCCUACGGGAGGCAGCAGUGGGGAAUAUUGGACAAUGGGCGAAAGCCUGAUCCAGCCAUGCCGCGUGUGCGAAGAAGGUCUUCGGAUUGUAAAGCACUUUAAGUUGGGAGGAAGGGCAGUAAAUUAAUACUUUGCUGUUUUGACGUUACCGACAGAAUAAGCACCGGCUAACUCUGUG